This 405-nucleotide long non-coding RNA is filed under the name Phasianus colchicus (ring-necked pheasant). RNAcentral's name for it is "lncRNA (ENSPCLG00000004940.1)". The record is from RNAcentral. Lineage: Eukaryota; Metazoa; Chordata; Aves; Galliformes; Phasianidae.
CUGGUGUCACUGAGUGAUAACUAGACCUACUUAGUUGAUAUGUGAAAUAUGGUAAACAUGGCACUACUUUUUUAACCGACUUGACCCCCAGGCACUCAUCCAAAAAUGCAAGUCAGUACUAAAAUCCCAUCCAUGGGCAAGUAUGCUGCUCAGGGCUUAGGAGAUUGAAAUAAUAUUGUCCUUCAUUUUACUAAGAAUGUUCGUCCUUUGGACUAUUUACCUGUUGGGCAAAGAAAGAGGACAUCUGCCAUUCACCAGGGAAGGGGUGGUACGACAGUGCCCAUCACUGUGGCAUGAAAACACCGUUCAGAAUUUAGGAGACCAAAGAAGAAAAUGAAGCUUAAUAAACUGUGUUUCUUUCUCUGCCCGGUACUUCUCUGUGCUAUGACAUUAUCUACGCCAUCU